This 720-nucleotide ribosomal RNA is filed under the name Kurtzmaniella natalensis. RNAcentral's name for it is "eukaryotic LSU rRNA". The stretch from base 140 to 720 matches the Rfam family "Eukaryotic large subunit ribosomal RNA", at positions 1 to 585 of the family's 3401-position model. Lineage: Eukaryota; Fungi; Ascomycota; Pichiomycetes; Serinales; Debaryomycetaceae. The record is from RNAcentral.
GCGUUUGCUUGAAAAAGUAUUGGCAAGAGUGGUACUGAGAAGUGCUAAACUGUUUCAAUGUAUUAGGUUUAUCCAACUCGUUGAAUCUGAUUAGUAGUGAUCUGUGCUUAGGCUCGGCCUUACAACAACAAACAAAGUUUGACCUCAAAUCAGGUAGGAUUACCCGCUGAACUUAAGCAUAUCAAUAAGCGGAGGAAAAGAAACCAACAGGGAUUGCCUUAGUAACGGCGAGUGAAGCGGCAAAAGCUCAAAUUUGAAAUCUGGCACUUUCAGUGUCCGAGUUGUAAUUUGAAGAAGGUAACUCUGGAGUUGGCCCUUGUCUAUGUUCCUUGGAACAGGACGUCACAGAGGGUGAGAAUCCCGUGCGAUGGGGUGUCCAAUUCUAUGUAGAGUGCUUUCGAAGAGUCGAGUUGUUUGGGAAUGCAGCUCUAAGUGGGUGGUAAAUUCCAUCUAAAGCUAAAUAUUGGCGAGAGACCGAUAGCGAACAAGUACAGUGAUGGAAAGAUGAAAAGAACUUUGAAAAGAGAGUGAAAAAGUACGUGAAAUUGUUGAAAGGGAAGGGCUUGAGAUCAGACUCGGUAUUUUGCGAUCCUAUCCUUCGUGGAGAGGUUUCAUUUGCAGCUUACCGGGCCAGCAUCGGUUUGGAUGGUAGGAUAAUGACAUUGGAAUGUGGCUCUUCGGAGUGUUAUAGCCCUUGUUGAUACUGCCUAUCUAGACCGA